GACCUGAGAGGGUGAUCGGCCACACUGGGACUGAGACACGGCCCAGACUCCUACGGGAGGCAGCAGUAGGGAAUCUUCCGCAAUGGACGAAAGUCUGACGGAGCAACGCCGCGUGAGUGAAGAAGGUUUUCGGAUCGUAAAACUCUGUUGUAAGGGAAGAACAAGUACGUUAGUAACUGAACGUACCUUGACGGUACCUUACCAGAAAGCCACGGCUAACUACGUGCCAGCAGCCGCGGUAAUACGUAGGUGGCAAGCGUUAUCCGGAAUUAUUGGGCGUAAAGCGCGCGUAGGCGGUCUCUUAAGUCUGAUGUGAAAGCCCCCGGCUCAACCGGGGAGGGUCAUUGGAAACUG
This 354-nucleotide ribosomal RNA is filed under the name bacterium LimA-10-J-143. RNAcentral's name for it is "bacterial SSU rRNA". It matches the Rfam family "Bacterial small subunit ribosomal RNA", at positions 289 to 635 of the family's 1533-position model. The record is from RNAcentral.